AUGGAAGCUCUAGCUUGCCGAGAGGGUAUAGCACUAGCUGAAGACCUAACACUGAGAAAUGUUGUUUUAGUUGCGGAUAGUCAAGAGGUGAUCAAAGACAUAGAACAAGAAGCAGCUGGUCCAUAUGGUGCAAUCAUCAAAGAAUUCAUAGAUCGGAAGAAUAUGCUUGACAAAUGUAUUUUAGUUCAUGAGCAUAGAAAUUUCAAUUUUGAGGCUCAUUGCCUCGCAAAACAUGCUGCUACUCUAGGUAUUGGAAGACAUACUUGGUUGGGUCAACCUUUUGAUCCCAACAAAAUACCUGUAAACCUUGUUAUUGAGUAA
RNAcentral lists this ribosomal RNA (321 nucleotides) under Triticum aestivum (bread wheat). RNAcentral describes it as "partial small subunit ribosomal RNA". Lineage: Eukaryota; Viridiplantae; Streptophyta; Magnoliopsida; Poales; Poaceae. The record is from RNAcentral.